UGUAUUUUCAUUUCCAGAGCCAGUGAAAUGAUUCGAGGUCUGGGGGUUUUGGGUGGGGGCGGAGGCCAGCAAGGCUUUUUCUGCACUUGGCGUGAAUCGCAGCGCAAGGCGAUUCAGGAACGAUGCUCGCAGCCCACCACCCCUCUCCGUACGUUCGGAUUCAGAGGAGCGGACGGCGUUUGGAUUCAGUCUGGCUCCGGGGAUUUUUCAUUUUAAUGCUUCCGCUUUCUGCAGUGACACGAGCCUGUUCCUAGACUGCAGUUUCCUGCAUUGGUCUUUCCAUUGCUUGGGGGUUUCCUUGCCGGCCUCGUAUUUGCAUUGUGCUGGGCUCAGAACGCACGUGUGCAUGUGCACGUGGGCACACGAGAGCCAGUCAGGCCUGGCGCGCAGGCUGCAGGGGCCGUCUGAGACAGAGACAGUCUCUUUUAUUACUGCAGCAAGAAAACAGGAAUGGAUCCAGAAGAGCAGGCAUGAAAGUCAGCUAUUCAGAGAGGAGAAGGAAGCAUGCAGCAGAUGGCAUUUGAAUCCUGUGAUCGCACACAGCAUCCCCGUCACCAAUAAUUAACCCCUUUCUUGCACACGGAGGGACGGCCUGCCACUCAUCUCAGUUCUGUGGUUCCUCAGCCCCGGGAUAAGAGGGACAGUACGUAUUGCUAUUAACCUCUGACCUGCCACAGUUCGCAUGUGCAAAGCCUUUCUCAGACAUGAUAGCAGAAGGGCAGGUAUUUUCUUUUCCCUACUUCUUUUGUCUGUUCUGAGAUAUGCUGUCCAGUGGCCAGGGCUAUGAGGGGCCGCUAAAUCCUCGGGGAGGGGGAAAAACCCUGCCAUUCUGCCAGGACAAUCUGCAAAAUAACUACCGAGCACAGAGUGAUUAUUCAGAGGCGAACCUCUCGGGUGGACAGAGGGUGAGGCUUCCAGGUUCUGCAGCGUGGAGGACACGACGCCUUGCAUGGGCGACAUUGGCACACGCACACGAAUGGGAUCUCAUGGGCCAACAUCAAGAUGGAAGAAAUGCAGACGUUUUCAUGAAGGCAAACUGGGACAUUUCCCUUUUACCACGAUGAUAGGGAUUUAGGAGACCUAUCCCUGCUCUAUGUCUUUCAUCAACUCAAGACCAAGAGGACUUGCCAUUUGGGACUUUUCCAGAAGAUACAAAAAUGGUUCUCUACAGCAUUUGUUUUGCAAGAGUAGCCUGCAAAAACAUCUAUUCAUCCUUUUUCACUGGGAUGCUCUCCAGAAGGGGGAGUUUUCCCUAUUCAGAGCUUUUAGCAUAUGUUUCGUGUAGAGAGAGUCAUUCAUUCAUUUCCUUCCACCACCCCAUGCUCACAUUGUCAGUAUUGCCCUACAGAAUAUACAGCAUGCAUUUUUGUUUCCUUAUUUUAACUAAAGGAUUCAAUUAAUUUUUUUUUCUACAUAAUAUUCCAUGAUUGGGUGAAUUAAAUUUAAAGCUACCCCCUCAUUAUGACUUUGCAAACAAAAACAUUAUUUCUAGGAAAAUGCAAACAUCUUGGCUUCCACCUUUUCAAUUUUGUAUCAUCAAGGAAAUUACAAGACAAUCAAAUCACUGGUAGAAAUAAAUCAAUUGGUUAUAUAGUGGUAUAUAUUUUUUCUAUAGGAACGUAUGGAAAUAUUGACAAUAUGAAGCCAAAACAGGGAUAGGAACUGAACAGUAAACAUCUGCAGAUGACUGGAAACAGAUGAUGGGAACCAUCCAAAGGAACUCAAGACUGAAGAAAGGUUACUUAACCAUAAUGGUCAGUCUUUGAGAGAGUAUCUACAAGUAGCAGUCUACUCCCAGGCCAGGCUGAAGCAAUUGAUUAAACUUUGGCUAUCACCCAAACACACAC
Long non-coding RNA from Gavialis gangeticus (Gharial), 1847 nucleotides. RefSeq lists it as uncharacterized. NCBI's taxonomy places the organism in Eukaryota, Metazoa, Chordata, Crocodylia, Gavialidae. The transcript is spliced from 3 exons. The record is from RefSeq and is a predicted model, not a curated record.